This 253-nucleotide ribosomal RNA is filed under the name uncultured bacterium. Its description in RNAcentral is "partial 16S ribosomal RNA". It matches the Rfam family "Bacterial small subunit ribosomal RNA", at positions 524 to 776 of the family's 1533-position model. The record is from RNAcentral.
UACGAAGGGGGCUAGCGUUGUUCGGAAUCACUGGGCUUAAAGGGCGCGUAGGCGGACCGCCAAGUCGGGAGUGAAAUCUUUCGGCCCAACCGGAAAAGGGCUUCCGAUACUGGCGAUCUCGAGGGAGGUAGGGGUCGAGGGAACUGGUGGUGGAGCGGUGAAAUGCGUAGAUAUCACUAGGAACGCCGGUGGCGAAAGCGCUCGACUGGACCUCUUCUGACGCUGAGGCGCGAAAGCCAGGGGAGCAAACGGG